GAUUGAACGCUGGCGGCAGGCUUAACACAUGCAAGUCGAACGGUAACAGGAAGCAGCUUGCUGCUUCGCUGACGAGUGGCGGACGGGUGAGUAAUGUCUGGGAAGCUGCCUGAUGGAGGGGGAUAACUACUGGAAACGGUAGCUAAUACCGCAUAAUGUCGCAAGACCAAAGAGGGGGACCUUCGGGCCUCUUGCCAUCGGAUGUGCCCAGAUGGGAUUAGCUUGUUGGUGGGGUAACGGCUCACCAAGGCGACGAUCCCUAGCUGGUCUGAGAGGAUGACCAGCCACACUGGAACUGAGACACGGUCCAGACUCCUACGGGAGGCAGCAGUGGGGAAUAUUGCACAAUGGGCGCAAGCCUGAUGCAGCCAUGCCGCGUGUAUGAAGAAGGCCUUCGGGUUGUAAAGUACUUUCAGCGGGGAGGAAGGGAGUAAAGUUAAUACCUUUGCUCAUUGACGUUACCCGCAGAAGAAGCACCGGCUAACUCCGUG
RNAcentral lists this ribosomal RNA (491 nucleotides) under uncultured bacterium. Its description in RNAcentral is "partial 16S ribosomal RNA". It matches the Rfam family "Bacterial small subunit ribosomal RNA", at positions 27 to 507 of the family's 1533-position model. The record is from RNAcentral.